CAAACGGUCCUUUUAAGGGCCACCCACGUUCUCUAUAAACGGCUG
This is a non-coding RNA of Gasterosteus aculeatus (three-spined stickleback), 45 nucleotides long. NCBI's taxonomy places the organism in Eukaryota, Metazoa, Chordata, Actinopteri, Perciformes, Gasterosteidae. The record is from Rfam.